Rattus norvegicus (Norway rat) is the source of this 1517-nucleotide long non-coding RNA. RefSeq lists it as uncharacterized. NCBI's taxonomy places the organism in Eukaryota, Metazoa, Chordata, Mammalia, Rodentia, Muridae. The record is from RefSeq and is a predicted model, not a curated record.
CCUCUGGAACAGGAGUUAAUGACAGUUGAGAGCUGCCACGUGGGCGCUGUGAAUUGAACCCAGGUCCUCUGGUAGAGCAGCCAGUGCUCUUAACCACUGAUCCAUCUCUCUACUCCUCUUUUUUUCUUCUCUCUCUCUCUCUCUCUCUCUCUCUCUCUCUCUCUCUCUCUCUCUCUCUCUCUAACACUUCAGAUUUUAUCUACCUACCAGUCAACCCUCUGACUCUACCUCACCUCCCAUGCUCCCCUCCCUGUCUCCAUGAGGAUUUCCCCACCCCCUAGCCCUCACCCCAUCAGACUUCUCCACUCCUUGGGGCCUCCAGUCUCUUGAGGGUUAGGUGCAUCUUCUCUGACUGAACCCAGACCCGGCAGUCCUCUCCGCUGUGUAUGUGAUGGUGUAUAUUAGCUGAUGUAUGCCACCUGGUUGGUGGUCCAGUGUCUGAGAGCUCUUGGAGGUUUAGGUUAAUAGAUACAGAAAAUGUGGUUCAUUUGCACAGUGGAAUACUACUCCGCUAUUAAAUACAAGGACAUCGCGAGUUUUUCAGGCAAAUGGAUGGAACUAGAAAAUGUCAUUCUGAGUGAGGUAACUCAGAUCCAAAAGGACAUGCUUGAAUGCAAACAGCUGUGCAAUUGACACAUCUGGAAUUCUGGAGGACCUAGGAAUACACAGCUCUUCUUGACGGUGCCAUGAACUUCAUUACAAACCACUUGGAUCUUCGGGAAGCCAGUAUUACAAACCCACAUCCUCCACUGGGAAAACUGAGGUUCACUUUGUGCUUAUUAAGCACACUUCAAGUUGGAGUGUCAUUCUACCUGAGGUGAUGACAUCAGUCUUUCUAGCAAUGACAUGUGGGAGAAAUGGGCCUUGCAUGCUUCCAAUCCUUGUUGCUGCCUGGGGCCCAUAGGCUUCUGGAUAAGGCAGUGUGUGUGCACUAUUUUUGAGUGCAAAGGCUUCUGGGUAACACAGUUGACAGCUUUGCUGUUGCUCAUACACAAAGGCUUCUAGAUGAUGCAGCUGUGGGCAGUGCUGCUGCUUGGACACGAACCCCUGUAGACCUUGGGGCUAUGAGCUUAGGGACCUUGUUAUUUCAGGUGAAAGGAGAUUAAAUGUAGUGGAUGUCUAAAAUCUUUAACUAUCUAAAAUAUAGACAUUUAAGUAAAAUGUCUAAAAUCUACCCAAUACAAGUAUUCGCUGCAGGAGACUGUUAGUGUUCAUUUUUUCCUUUCAAUGAUCCUCCUGUGUACACGUCUUGGACUUUUCAACUGUUUGUAGUAGACAAUGUAGCACAGUCUCAUUUGUGUACUUGCUUUGUAAAGUCACUAACAGCUUUUGCUGCCCGUUAUGUUUUUGUUCAUGUCUGAAGCAUGAUACUCCAUGUUUUUAAAGAUUCCCUUUAUUAUUACCGAAAGAGAUCUCAGCAAUUGAUGGUGGGAUGGGGUCAGGGAAGGAAGGUGGAGUUCGAUUACUAAGACUGAUGUAACCAACUUGGAUUAAAAUAAAGACUACACAUGGAGAGA